CCUACGCGAGGCAGCAGUGGGGAAUAUUGCACAAUGGGCGAAAGCCUGAUGCAGCAACGCCGCGUGAAGGAAGACGGUUUUCGGAUUGUAAACUUCUAUCAAUAGGGAAGAAAGAAAUGACGGUACCGAAAUAAGAAGACCCGGCUAACUACGUGCCAGCAGCCGCGGUAAUACGUAGGGGGCAAGCGUUAUCCGGAAUUACUGGGUGUAAAGGGAGAGUAGGCGGCAAGGUAAGCGAUAUGUGAAAGCCUUAAGCUUAACUAAAGGAUUGCAUAACGAACUAUCUAGCUAGAGUACAGGAGAGGAAAGCGGAAUUCCUAGUGUAGCUGUGAAAUGCGUAGAUAUUAGGAAGAACACCAGGGGCGAAGGCGGCUUUCUGGACUGAAACUGACGCUGAGGCUCGAAAGCGUGGGGAGCGAACAGGAUUAGAUACCCGAGUAGUC
This 443-nucleotide ribosomal RNA is filed under the name uncultured bacterium. RNAcentral's name for it is "partial 16S ribosomal RNA". It matches the Rfam family "Bacterial small subunit ribosomal RNA", at positions 338 to 795 of the family's 1533-position model. The record is from RNAcentral.